Molecule: non-coding RNA, 135 nt
Organism: Triticum aestivum (bread wheat)
Lineage: Eukaryota; Viridiplantae; Streptophyta; Magnoliopsida; Poales; Poaceae
Source: Rfam
UGUGUACUCCCUCCGUCCGAAAAUACUUGUCAUCAAAAUGGACAAAAAGAGAUGUAUCCAGAACUAAAAUACAUCUAGGUACAUCCCCUUUUAUUCAUUUUGAUGAAAAGUAUUUUCGGGCGUAGGGAGUAUGAU